UGCAGAGGCUCACAGCCGAUGACCCAUUAGCAGUCCUCAGAGCCUUCAGGGUGCUGUGCGUGCUGGGUGAAACAUGUGGGGACUUUCUGAGGAGGAGGGUUUCUAAAGAGGUUCUGCCCAAGCUGAGCGCCUCUCUGGCAUGGCAGGCUCCGAUCAGCGCCAAGGCUGGGCCUGUCUACACACACACCCUGGCCUACAAACUGCAGCUGGCUGUAUUGCAGGGGCUGGGCUCACUGUGCCAGAGACUGGAUCUGGCUGAAGCAGACCUAGAUGCUGUUUGUGAAGCCUGUCUACCCUACCUGAGCUCCAGACAACCCAUCAGACUGCAAGAAGCCUGUUUAAG
This is a long non-coding RNA of Oreochromis aureus, 343 nucleotides long. RefSeq lists it as uncharacterized. Lineage: Eukaryota; Metazoa; Chordata; Actinopteri; Cichliformes; Cichlidae. The record is from RefSeq and is a predicted model, not a curated record. The transcript has 3 exons.